Molecule: non-coding RNA, 73 nt
Organism: Trichonephila inaurata madagascariensis
Lineage: Eukaryota; Metazoa; Arthropoda; Arachnida; Araneae; Nephilidae
Source: the annotation of a GenBank genome assembly
GUUUUAGUAGCGCAAUGGAUAGCGCUUUGGACUUUGAAUUCAAAAGUCAUGGGUUCGAAUUCCACUUGGAAUG